Molecule: ribosomal RNA, 275 nt
Filed under: uncultured bacterium
Lineage: Bacteria
Description: partial 16S ribosomal RNA
Rfam family: Bacterial small subunit ribosomal RNA
Source: RNAcentral
CCGUUGCCGGCGACCGGCGCACGGGUGAGUAACACGUAUGCAACCUGCCCGUGGCAGGGGGAUAAGCGGGGAAACCCCGUCUAAUACCGCGUAACGCGGCCUAGGGACAUCCCAAGGCCGCCAAAGGGAGCAAUCCCGGCCACGGAUGGGCAUGCGGCGCAUUAGCUAGUCGGCGGGGUAACGGCCCACCGAGGCGACGAUGCGUAGGGGUUCUGAGAGGAAGGUCCCCCACACUGGUACUGAGACACGGACCAGACUCCUACGGAAGGCAGCAG